AAGUCGUAACAAGGUUUCCGUAGGUGAACCUGCGGAAGGAUCAUUAUCGUACAAAAUGUGAGAGGGGCAUGCGAGGGCUGUCGCUGACUCAAAGUCGUGCACGCCCGAGUGUGUCGCCUCACAUAAUAAUCCAUCUCACCCUUUGUGCAUCACCGCGUGGGCACCCCUUUGGGAUCAUCUCGGAGGGGGCUCGCGUUUUCACACAAAACCCCCCUUUUAAAAGUGUAGAAUGACCUCAUUUAUGCGCUAACCCGCAAUCAAUACAACUUUCAACAACGGAUCUCUUGGCUCUCGCAUCGAUGAAGAACGCAGCGAAAUGCGAUACGUAAUGUGAAUUGCAGAAUUCAGUGAAUCAUCGAAUCUUUGAACGCACCUUGCGCCCCCUGGUAUUCCGAGGGGCACACCCGUUUGAGUGUCGUGAAAACCUCAACCUCCUUGGUUUCUUCUGGAGACCAAAGCAGGCUUGGACUUUGGAGGCCUUUGCUGGCACCUCUCGCCAGCUCCUCUUAAAUGAAUUAGCAGGGUCCUCUUUGCUGAUCCUCGACGUGUGAUAAGAUGUUUCCAUGUCUUGGUUUCUGGCUCUGUCACCUUUGGGACCCGCUUCUAACCGUCUUCAACCUUGCGUUGAGACAACGUUCGAGCAUGUCUCCCUUCUCGGGAAGCUCCCUCGACCCCACGAACCCUUGACCUCAAAUCGGGUGAGACUACCCGCUGAACUUAA
RNAcentral lists this ribosomal RNA (721 nucleotides) under uncultured Lactarius. RNAcentral describes it as "eukaryotic LSU rRNA". The stretch from base 265 to 418 matches the Rfam family "5.8S ribosomal RNA". Lineage: Eukaryota; Fungi; Basidiomycota; Agaricomycetes; Russulales; Russulaceae. The record is from RNAcentral.